RNAcentral lists this long non-coding RNA (414 nucleotides) under Homo sapiens (human). RNAcentral's name for it is "HSALNT0349278". Lineage: Eukaryota; Metazoa; Chordata; Mammalia; Primates; Hominidae. The record is from RNAcentral.
CUUGAAGCAAAAGUUCCUGAUAUCAGGGUGCUAACAAUUUAGGAGAUUGAGAACGACCUGAAGGGAGCAGUGUGGAACCUGAAGGUGGAUAGGGAAGGGAGUAACGAAUGAUAGAGUCUUUUCUAUGAGGACGAGGAAGGCCAGUGCCAACACCUGAAGUGAAGAGGCCUCCUAAUGCUUUCUAGGAUCUGGAAGAAGUUCAGUGUGAGGACGAGUGUUAGGAAAUAAGGCUGAAGACAGAGGCAACCCUGGAGGAUCUUCUAACCCAUGUCAAGCAGUUGAGAAUUUAUGGAGUGAAAUAGCAAGCCAUUGAAGAGUUUCAAGUUUCAGCUUUCUGAAAAAUGUCACUCAUCCAGGAGUCCUUGGUUACCAAUGAUAAAUGAGAUGUCCAAACCCCAAAGAUACUGAUGUUAG